Molecule: small RNA, 91 nt
Filed under: Flavobacterium sp. 81
Lineage: Bacteria; Pseudomonadati; Bacteroidota; Flavobacteriia; Flavobacteriales; Flavobacteriaceae
Also listed under: 1 other name
Description: Flavo-1 RNA
Rfam family: Flavo-1 RNA
Source: RNAcentral
ACCUAGCCCCGAUAGAAGUGGAAAUCCUUUUGUGGCGGUCCCGAUAGCUAUCGGGAGCCAUAAAAGAUUGAAACGGAUAGCGGGAUUAGCU